Molecule: non-coding RNA, 601 nt
Organism: Salvia hispanica
Lineage: Eukaryota; Viridiplantae; Streptophyta; Magnoliopsida; Lamiales; Lamiaceae
Source: RefSeq, a predicted model, not a curated record
AAACAUAAAUGUUCCAGCACAAUACAUCUCAAUCAAUGGCUGUGCAGAUGUCGACUAUUUCAAUUCCCAAAACCUCUCUUCAAAAAAUUCCUUAACUCUCCUCUUCUUUACUCCUCUCCAAAGUAGUACUAAAUCACAUCAAAAUACAAACAACUCUUCUAAUUUGGAAUGUGAUGGAGCUCCUCAAGUCUAGUUUCCUUUGCAUUCUACUUCUCCUCCUCCUCCUCUUCGGGCCGGGCUUUUCAGCAGGGAGAAUGCAUGCGAAGAAUAUGGGAUCAGAGGUUUAUGAUAUUGAUUACAGAGGGCCGGAGACGCACACAUACAACCCGCCGCCGAACCGGGCCGGCCCCAGAGUCCCUCAUCAAACCCGCCACAAGUCCAAACGGAAUGUAAGGAGAAAUCUUGAUAGGAAAAAUUCUAGAUCGUGACUUUGAAAUGAUCGUGAAUAUAUUAUUAUUGUCUCCUUUUUAAAAAAAAAGAAAUUAAUCUAUUUGCAUUUGUGUGAUUUUUUCAAAAUUGUGUUAAGUAGGACUAUAAUUUAUGCAAUGAGAUUUUAAAGCUUUUAAUAUAGUAUGACUUGAAUUUUGCUUGUUUUGUAAAA